This 510-nucleotide ribosomal RNA is filed under the name uncultured bacterium. RNAcentral describes it as "bacterial SSU rRNA". It matches the Rfam family "Bacterial small subunit ribosomal RNA", at positions 8 to 527 of the family's 1533-position model. The record is from RNAcentral.
AGGGUUCGAUUAUGGCUCAGGACGAACGCUGGCGGUGCGCCUUAUGCAUGCAAGUUGAGCGAAGCUUUUCAGUAGUUUACUACAGAAAAUGACUGAGCGGCGAACGGGUGAGUAACGCGUGAGCAAUCUACCUUAGUUACUGGGAUAGCCCGAGGAAACUCGGAUUAAUACCGGAUAUUCUUAUUUUUUCACAUGAAGUUUUAAGGAAAGGUCAGCCGAACUAAGAUGGGCUCGCGUUCUAUCAGCUAGUUGGUGGGGUAAAAGCCUACCAAGGCUACGACGGAUAGCUGGUCUGAGAGGACGAUCAGCCACACUGGGACUGAGACACGGCCCAGACUCCUACGGGAGGCUGCAGCAGGGAAUAUUGUGCAAUGAGCGAAAGCUUGACACAGCGACACCGCGUGUGGGAUGACGGUUCUAGGAUUGUAAACCACUUUCAGGAGGGAAGAAAAUGACGGUACCUCCACAAGAAGACCCGGCCAACUAUGUGCCAGCCGCCGCGGUAAUUCA